GAUCCUCACUCAGUAGAUGUUUUGGGUGACUUUCCGACAUCCCUGACCAUUUUCCAGCAAGAUUUCCGACGGUUGCACCUAGGGUUUUGUACCUAGGGGAUUCUCUGAUUGAUUGAAGGCCGAUCUUCUCCGGUCGCGAAGAAGGAGGGUAACUCUGUCCUUAUCUUGAGUAUUAUAUGCUUUGUGUAUGAUUAUCUGACUCCGUAUGUGAGUAUCUGGUUUUGUGUGUGAAUAUCUAGUUUGGUUAUAUUCUACUUGUUGAAAUUUUCUUUAAGCCGGUUCAUUGAUUAUGGCUUCUAAUACGAAUGUUGGUACCUCCUCCUCCUCGGUAGACUCUACCAGCCCCCUCUUUGUAUACUCCUCUGAUGUCCCUGGGUAUCUCUUGUCCCCAGUCCUUUCUCGGGAAGUGGUUAUGGGGGUUGGAGGAGAAAAAUGAUUGUUGCAUUAUCUGCUAAAAACAAAAUUGGUUUUGUUGAUGGCACAUGCUCCCGACCAGCUAUUAAUGUGGCUCAACAAAGGUUAUGGGAUAGGUGCAAUAACAUGGUGAUUUCAUGGUUAACUGCUUCCCUCUCCUCUCAAAUUGCUGAAAGUGUGCAGUGUUCUGAUACUGCACAGAGCAUAUGGUCCCAACUCCAGGCCAGAUAUGGCACUUGCAAACAGGACCAAAAUCUUUGAAUUGAAAAGGGAGCUUUCUCACACCUCCCAAGGAUCCUUAGAUGUAGCUUCAUAUUCUAAUAAGCUCAUAGGUCUGUGGGAUGAACUAGAAUCAAUGUGUGUUAAUCAUGGUCAAAGAUGUGUUUGUGUUGCCAAAGAUGGUAUAAUACAGGAAAGUGAUGAAAAUAAGGUGUUUCAGUUUUUACUGGGUCUUAAUGAAGCAUACAUGGGGGUAAGGAGUAAUCUUUUGAUGAUGCAGCCUCCUCCAUCUCUUGACAAUGUCUAUAAUAUGGUCCUCAAUGAUGAGAAGCAGAGACAAGUCCAGUCUUCUUCUCACUUUAAUCCAGACUCUGUCUCUUUCAAUGUUCAUACUAAUAGGCAGCCUGUUGGAUUUAACAAGGCCACAGUGCCUAGUCCUUCUUCUCCUUUCAGACAAAGAGUCAAUUUUGAUCAAGCCAGAGGAUCUUUAUUCUGUAGAUACUGUAAAAAAUCUGGACACUUAAUUGAUAAGUGUUUCAAGAUCCAUGGGUAUCCAUAAAGUACAAAUUUUAACAAGGGGAGGAGACCUGCUGCUGCUCAUCUUAGUGCUGGUCUGGAUUUUCCUCAUUCUGUUUCAAGAUCCAUGGGUAUCCAUAAAGUACAAAUUUUAACAAGGGGAGGAGACCUGUAGUUGCUCAUCUUAGUGCUGGUCUGGAUUUCCCUCAUUCUGAAGGACAUGUGUCUGUUCCCCAAGGGAAUCCUCCUGAAAGCCAUCAAUCUGUUCCAAAAAUAGAUGGCCAGUGUUCUGUGAUACCAGGGUUGAGCAGACAACAGUAUGAUCAGUUGAUGAAUUUAUUACAACAGAACAAGUUAGGGGACUCCACUGCUCAGACUCCUCCUCCCAUGUAUGCUGCUAACUUUGCUGGUGCUAUGUUUGUUAGAAACUACGCUUAACGCUAGAGGGGGGGGGGGG
This 1606-nucleotide long non-coding RNA is filed under the name Nicotiana benthamiana. Its description in RNAcentral is "long non-coding RNA (NBEN_LNC017013)". Lineage: Eukaryota; Viridiplantae; Streptophyta; Magnoliopsida; Solanales; Solanaceae. The record is from RNAcentral.